AGGAUAAACGCUGGCGGCGUGCCUAAUACAUGCAAGUCGAGCGGCAGCGCGGUCUUCGGACUGGCGGCGAGCGGCGGACGGCUGAGUAACACGUAGGAACGUACCCCAAAGUGAGGGAUAAGCACCAGAAAUGGUGUCUAAUACCGCAUGUGCUCUAAGGAGUAAAGCUUCGGCGCUUUGGGAACGGCCUACGCAUGAUUAGCUUGUUGGUGAGGUAAUGGCUCACCAAGGCGACGAUCAUUAGCUGGUCUGAGAGGAUGAUCAGCCAGACUGGGACUGAGAACGGCCCAGACUCCUACGGGAGGCAGCAGUAGGGAAUUUUCCACAAUGGGCGAAAGCCUGAUGGAGCAACGCCGCGUGCAGGAUGAAGGCCUUAGGGUUGUAACUGCUUUUAUGUGUGACGAAUAUGACGGUAGCAUAUGAAUAAGGAUCGGCUAACUCCGUGCCAGCAGCCGC
Molecule: ribosomal RNA, 456 nt
Filed under: uncultured bacterium
Lineage: Bacteria
Description: SSU rRNA
Rfam family: Bacterial small subunit ribosomal RNA
Source: RNAcentral